CGGAGGAAGGUGGGGAUGACGUCAAGUCCUCAUGGCCCUUAUACGGUGGGGCUACACACGUCAUACAAUGGCUGGUACAAAGGGUUGCCAACCCGCGAGGGGGAGCCAAUCCCAUAAAGCCAGUCGUAGUCCGGAUCGCAGUCUGCAACUCGACUGCGUGAAGUCGGAAUCGCUAGUGAUCGUGGAUCAGCAUGUCACGGUGAAUACGUUCCCGGGUCUU
RNAcentral lists this ribosomal RNA (220 nucleotides) under uncultured Comamonas sp. Its description in RNAcentral is "partial 16S ribosomal RNA". It matches the Rfam family "Bacterial small subunit ribosomal RNA", at positions 1164 to 1382 of the family's 1533-position model. Lineage: Bacteria; Pseudomonadati; Pseudomonadota; Betaproteobacteria; Burkholderiales; Comamonadaceae. The record is from RNAcentral.